UGACCUCAAAUCGGGGAGAUACCCGAUCCC
This 30-nucleotide ribosomal RNA is filed under the name Russula globispora. RNAcentral's name for it is "partial 28S ribosomal RNA". The record is from RNAcentral. Lineage: Eukaryota; Fungi; Basidiomycota; Agaricomycetes; Russulales; Russulaceae.